RNAcentral lists this long non-coding RNA (416 nucleotides) under Nicotiana benthamiana. RNAcentral describes it as "long non-coding RNA (NBEN_LNC004953)". Lineage: Eukaryota; Viridiplantae; Streptophyta; Magnoliopsida; Solanales; Solanaceae. The record is from RNAcentral.
UUGAAUACUUAUAUACCUACACCUCCAGUUUUACAAUUACAAUUCUCUUUUCUCUUUUGAGAUCUCUUGGACUAUUUGCUUGUAAUUGGUUUACAAGACUUCUGCUUUUUCUCUUCUUAUUUCCUGAAACUUGUAUGUUCUGAUUUAAUUUCAGCCAUCAUCCCAGUAUGUUUACUUACAGCUUCUGCAAUCCUGUUUGAUUUUCUAUCCAUGCUCAGUGAUUAAUAUUAACUAUGCAUGUCCUUUUCUUACAUCUGUUCCUAUUGUGAAUCCCUACCCCUACUCCCUUCUAUGUGCUUGAGUUAAGGUUCAGGCAUGCUUGUGUCCAAAUUGCUGCUUAUGUCUUGACCUGAUCCUUAAUGGAUCCUAACUCCCAGUAUAUGUGGCUAACAGGCUGGGCAGGGGUGUGUCAGCAC